Molecule: unclassified non-coding RNA, 2196 nt
Filed under: Hevea brasiliensis (rubber tree)
Lineage: Eukaryota; Viridiplantae; Streptophyta; Magnoliopsida; Malpighiales; Euphorbiaceae
Source: RNAcentral
GAGAGAAGAAAGCUCUAGCCUGCAAGCCUCAUCUAAGUCAUCUCUCCAGCUCCUCUGUAUAAAGGCUAACCUCUUUUGCCUCUACUAUACGCAGCGAAAACCACCGCAAAAGCACCACCCAACACAGAAAAAGACAUUUAUAAACGAUUAAUCAAGAAAAAAGUGAAGCACUGAUGAUGAAUGACCAAAAGGUGCCGCCACCGGAGGUGGCUGUCCAGCUACCGGAGUCCAAGGUGGCCGCGACGGAGAACAGUGGCACAAUGAGUGGACCGCUGAUAAGGACGCCGAGGUCUUUUGGCCGGAAAGCUGAAGUCUUGCACGCGGCACUUAGGUUGUUGUGCAUGGUGACAUCUGUGGCAGCACUGUCGUUUAUGGUCACAGCCCAUCAGUCCAGCUCUGUCUCCAUCUAUGGAUUUAUGCUUCCUGUUUACUCAAAGUGGUCAUUCUCUCACUCAUUCGAGUAAGUUGCUAAGUUUCUUGGGUCUACUUAAUUGCCAAAAUGUUGUGUCUUUGUUUAUUAUUCAUGCUUUUUUUGUUCUUGAUCAUGAUGUUUCCAUCGUUUGGUUGCUGAGAAAGUGAGGGAAAAUCAGAGAGAAUGGUAUUUUGGAGAUUACAUCAUUGCCAUGUAACGGAGGUAUCUAGUUGGAGUCUCAGCAGCUGUAGUUGCACACUCCUUGCUGCAACUGCUAAUUAGCAUGUCAAGGCUAGUUAGAAAAUCUCCAGUGAUUCCAUCAAGAAGCCAUGCUUGGCUUCUUUUUGCAGGAGAUCAGGUAUUAGAUUAAUGACUUUCAUACGUGGGUAAUGCUAUAUUCAUGUGCUUGGCUUUAUUUCCGUUCCCUUAUAUUGGAAGAGUUCUACAUGCUUUGGUUAUGCCAACAGAAUCUUGGUAAUUAAUUUUAUGGAACAAAGCCAUAUCAGUAGGAAGGAAAUGUUUAUCAUCAACCAAUGAACUAUACAGGUUAAUGGCAGGGAUUUCUGGUUAGCGGUCGCGGAGAAGAUGAGCAUUAAUCAUUUGAAGACUAUCUUGAUGUGUUGAAGUGCUAAAGCAAAUGAAAUUUUGUGUCCUAAGUUUUUUUAUUUAUCAUAACAUCUAACAGAAUCAAAACAGGGUUAGAAACUGAUGCAAGUUGCAGUUCCUCUUGCUCUAGUGGGAAAAAAAAUGAAGGGAGACUUGGACUGUUGCCUUUCUCUUGGCGAAAAUGUCGUUCUUGUGUUGUUAAGUCAGGCCUCAAUACUCUACGCUUGCAUCAUAACAUGCUAUAUAAUAAAAGAACUCCUUUCAAUGUCUUGCACAUCUAUAUAAAAUUUCACAUUCUGUCUUUUGGUAGAUAGAAAUUUCACAUUUCUACAUUUUUUGGCAGAGAAUAUUUUGUUGUAGCUCAGAAUCAUGUAGCUGAACCUGGUUUUCACUUUGUGCAUAGCUAUCUGCAUUGCUUGUGAAUUUUUCAUUAAUUCAGUUUAACCUCAAGCACAAAUAGUUCUUUAUAAGGGUCUGAUUAAUCUCCAAGUUUGCAGGUGUUGUCGUAUGCAAUGAUUAGUGCUGGGGCUGCUGCAUCAGGAGUCUCCAACCUGAACCGCACUGGAAUCCAACAUACGCCUUUACCAAAUUUCUGCAAGCCUCUUCACUACUUCUGUGACCACGUUGCCAUCUCUAUAGCCUUCACUUUCUUCAGCUGCUUCUUGCUUGCUGCAUUGGCCAUUCAGGAGGUUAUGUGGCUCUCCAAGUCAAAGUAUUGAAGUUCCUUUGCGUCCCAUAGUCUGCACUCCCAUAUCAGCAUGAUCUACUUGUAGCAAAUAUAUGUAUCCUCUUAUUAGUUCCACUGAUCUACUUUCUUUUGGACAAUUUUGUAAUUUAUCAUGUUUAAGUUGACUUUGUAAAGAAGAGGAUGGGGCAUAUCUGAUAAUGACACCAUGUCCUAAUUCAGUGAUUAUGACCAGAUUGUUGAAAGCCUUGUCCUAAUGGCUUUGGGAUGGCCAUUGUUUCUAGCAAGGCUAUGAAUUAGGCAGUCCAUUUCAACAAGGACGGUACUCGUUCCCAGUUGAUCUCACCCAUUGUUUGAUCCUUUGGGGUGGUCUUUUGGGUUGUCAAUGGUAUCAUUGCAUGCAAGCAAAGGACUAAAGCUAUUUGUAAAGAAUAUGUUGGUUUUAUGUUUGAAAUAAUAGUCAUAAAAAUCAAGAAUAAUACCUAAACUGUCG